This 538-nucleotide long non-coding RNA is filed under the name Salvator merianae (Argentine black and white tegu). RNAcentral's name for it is "lncRNA (ENSSMRG00000009860.1)". Lineage: Eukaryota; Metazoa; Chordata; Lepidosauria; Squamata; Teiidae. The record is from RNAcentral.
GGCAGAUUCCUUGUUCAUCAUCAAGUUAUUUUCUUUUCUUUCUCCUUCUUCUAGAGCCAAGCAAAGGAACCUGGUGAUGAAUGAAAGACUGGCCAGCAGCAAGCACUGGGGGAGAAGGCAAUGACUCACAGGCUUCUGAGAACAUGGAGAGGGAUGCUAAACUGGGACUGAGGAAAUGGAAGGAUGGAGAAGAGCCAUUUGAUGUGAGAACCCAACCACAAAAAGAGGUUCAACAAUAUACUUCAAUUUGCAUUGUUACUGUAAAUCAUUCCUUCAGAAAACUGUAUUACAAAACUUCAACAGCUCUGCUCUGCAAAAGAGUACAUUAAAUUUAUGUAACUUUCCUGCUUGUUUUGACAGUAAUGAUCCUGCACCGAAUCAAUCUAUUUAAUGCUGGUGGAUCUGCCCUGUUUGCUAACCUUCUUGUCUUCAUUGUCUUCCAGACUCUGAAUCUGAUAACUUCAUCUGUACAUCUUCCAGUCCUAGAAGUACAAGGCCAACUAAUAAAAAACACACUUUAAAGAGGGGGGGAAAAGGA